This 89-nucleotide transfer RNA is filed under the name Eubacteriales Family XIII. Incertae Sedis bacterium. Its description in RNAcentral is "tRNA-Leu". It matches the Rfam family "tRNA". Rfam says of the family: Transfer RNA (tRNA) molecules are approximately 80 nucleotides in length. Lineage: Bacteria; Bacillati; Bacillota; Clostridia; Peptostreptococcales; Anaerovoracaceae. The record is from RNAcentral.
GCCGAAGUGGCGGAAUUGGUAGACGCACAGGACUUAAAAUCCUGCGAUCCGUGAGGUUCGUACCGGUUCGAUCCCGGUCUUCGGCACCA